CAUGCCCCAGCUCGUGUUGCAGAUGUGGCUUAUGUGCCACGUUUGUGUCAUUAGGUGGCAGAGAGGAAAAGGCUGUGUCUUUGCUGGUGCUCCGAAACCUGUGAGCACCCAGGAAUGAUGAGCAACCUGACAAU
Molecule: small nucleolar RNA, 134 nt
Organism: Cariama cristata (Red-legged seriema)
Lineage: Eukaryota; Metazoa; Chordata; Aves; Cariamiformes; Cariamidae
Rfam family: Small nucleolar RNA SNORA17
About the family: snoRNA ACA 17 belongs to the H/ACA family of snoRNAs and is predicted to guide pseudouridylation of the 28S rRNA at positions U4659 and U4598. It shares the same host gene together with ACA43.
Source: Rfam